This 504-nucleotide ribosomal RNA is filed under the name uncultured bacterium. RNAcentral describes it as "partial 16S ribosomal RNA". It matches the Rfam family "Bacterial small subunit ribosomal RNA", at positions 30 to 523 of the family's 1533-position model. The record is from RNAcentral.
AUUGAACGCUGGCGGCAUGCCUUACACAUGCAAGUCGAACGGCAGCAUGGAGAGCUUGCUCUCUGAUGGCGAGUGGCGAACGGGUGAGUAAUGCAUCGGAACGUACCGUGUAAUGGGGGAUAACGUAGCGAAAGUUACGCUAAUACCGCAUACGACCUGAGGGUGAAAGCAGGGGAUCGCAAGACCUUGCGUUAUACGAGCGGCCGGUGUCAGAUUAGCUAGUUGGUGAGGUAAAGGCUCACCAAGGCGACGAUCUGUAGCGGGUCUGAGAGGAGGAUCCGCCACACUGGGACUGGGACACGGCCCAGACUCCUACGGGAGGCAGCAGGGGGGAAUUUUGGACAAUGGGGGCAACCCUGAUCCAGCCAUGCCGCGUGAGUGAAGAAGGCCUUCGGGUUGUAAAGCUCUUUCGGCCGGGAAGAAAUCGCACAGGCUAAUACUCUGUGUGGAUGACGGUACCGGCAUAAGAAGCACCGGCUAACUACGUGCCAGCCGCCGCGGUAA